ACUUACCUGGCUAAUUUGAUGAAUUAGAUUUUGAUUAGAUUGCUAAGUAAUUCGAGUUAGCCCAUGUCAUUAAGAUUGAUCAGUGUGACUGAUCUAGGUGCCAUUUCAAUCAGCAUGAUCCUAACCUGAUUCAGUGACUUGAUGAAGUCAGUGGGAGGAUUAUGAUCUACUGAUUGAUUUCUUCUCUUUUCUCUUCUCAAAAAUAAAAAUUAAAUUCUCUAAAUUAUUAGAUCUCUUAAAUAAGCUGGUUAUGAUGAUAACUAGAUCAUAGUCUCCCAUUAAGUUAGAUGAUAAUGGGUCCAUUAGUAUGAUGAUCAUUGGAGGCCCAAAGGCUUCAUGCUCAUCUGCUAUUGGAAUUAUCAUUCAUAAUAUGAUGACUUUGUUGAGUCUCUCUGUCAGGUGGUUAAGUUAGCCAGCUAAAGUCAGGCCUAAUCAUUUGGUAGUUAGAUUUGUAAGUAUGAUCGUGUUAAUGAUUGGACCUAACCAGGGGCUUACAGAGAAGAUCAAAGUCAUCUAAAAAGUUAUCUAGG
This 530-nucleotide long non-coding RNA is filed under the name Elaeis guineensis (African oil palm). RNAcentral's name for it is "long non-coding RNA (EGUI_LNC052732)". Lineage: Eukaryota; Viridiplantae; Streptophyta; Magnoliopsida; Arecales; Arecaceae. The record is from RNAcentral.